AUACGGAGGGUGCAAGCGUUGCUCGGAAUCACUGGGCGUAAAGCGCGCGCAGGCGGUCUUUUAAGUUGGAUGUGAAAGCCUACGGCUCAACCGUAGAACUGCAUCCAAAACUAUUAGACUAGAGUGUGGGAGAGGAAGAUGGAAUUAGUUGUGUAGGGGUAAAAUCCGUAGAGAUAACUAGGAAUACCAAAAGCGAAGGCAAUCUUCUGGAACACUACUGACGCUGAGGCGCGAAAGCGUGGGGAGCAAACAGGAUUAGAAACCCUAGUAGUCC
This 274-nucleotide ribosomal RNA is filed under the name uncultured bacterium. RNAcentral describes it as "partial 16S ribosomal RNA". It matches the Rfam family "Bacterial small subunit ribosomal RNA", at positions 523 to 796 of the family's 1533-position model. The record is from RNAcentral.